Molecule: non-coding RNA, 79 nt
Filed under: Glossina pallidipes
Lineage: Eukaryota; Metazoa; Arthropoda; Insecta; Diptera; Glossinidae
Source: RNAcentral
GUGUAAUUUGAAAGGAGAGCAAGUUAGCACUCCCCUAGAUAAGGAUGGAAUAUAAAACUAAAAAAUUAUAUACUUUUAU